This 567-nucleotide ribosomal RNA is filed under the name Triticum aestivum (bread wheat). Its description in RNAcentral is "partial small subunit ribosomal RNA". The record is from RNAcentral. Lineage: Eukaryota; Viridiplantae; Streptophyta; Magnoliopsida; Poales; Poaceae.
AUGCGUCAUCUAAAGCUGACACACAAUAUGAGGGUAGAUAGCGACCCAUGGUUUGCACAAUACUUGUUGCAGAUUGGUGACGGAAAGGAGGAGGCCAAUGAUGAUGGUGAUAUCCACCUUCCAGACGAGAUCUGUGUCAUGACUGGGAAGGACACUGACCUUGAUACACUGAUAUAUAAUGUUUUUCCCGGUCUUAGUGCUAACAUGGCAGACCCAAACUACAUCACCUCAAGAGCAAUAUUAUCGACCCGAAAUGAUUGUGUGGAUAAGAUUAAUAUGAAGAUGAUCAAUCAAUUUCAAGGAGAUGAGAUGGUGUAUCAUAGCUUUGAUUCUGCGGUCGACGACACUCAUAACUACUAUCCUUCUGAGUUCCUUAACACUUUGAAACCUAAUGCAUUGAAUCUGAAGAUUAACUGCCCUAUUAUAUUACUUAGAAAUAUUGACCCCGCAAAUGGACUUUGCAACGGCACGAGGCUGGUUGCCAAGGAUUCCAGAGGAAUGCCAUCGAUGCUGAAAUUGUGUUGGGGCAACAUGAGCAUGGUCUCCACCCUAUCACAAUAUGUCUAA